GAGGAUAUAGCUCAGUGGUAGAGUGCCUGCCUAGCAUGCACAAGGUCCUGGGUUCAAACCCCAGUACUUCU
This 71-nucleotide transfer RNA is filed under the name Camelus bactrianus (Bactrian camel). It matches the Rfam family "tRNA". Rfam says of the family: Transfer RNA (tRNA) molecules are approximately 80 nucleotides in length. Their secondary structure includes four short double-helical elements and three loops (D, anti-codon, and T loops). Further hydrogen bonds mediate the characteristic L-shaped molecular structure. tRNAs have two regions of fundamental functional importance: the anti-codon, which is responsible for specific mRNA codon recognition, and the 3' end, to which the tRNAs corresponding amino acid is attached (by aminoacyl-tRNA synthetases). tRNAs cope with the degeneracy of the genetic code in two manners: having more than one tRNA (with a specific anti-codon) for a particular amino acid; and 'wobble' base-pairing, i.e. permitting non-standard base-pairing at the 3rd anti-codon position. Lineage: Eukaryota; Metazoa; Chordata; Mammalia; Artiodactyla; Camelidae. RNAcentral also lists the same sequence under 2 other names. The record is from Rfam by way of RNAcentral.